Molecule: long non-coding RNA, 347 nt
Filed under: Vigna radiata
Lineage: Eukaryota; Viridiplantae; Streptophyta; Magnoliopsida; Fabales; Fabaceae
Description: long non-coding RNA (VRAD_LNC006677)
Source: RNAcentral
UUAGCCUUAAACAGGAUGUGAACCCUUGUCUUGAAAUUCUUUACCUUGAGUUGGGAUGAGCUUAAUUGUAUGCGAUGAAAAGGUUCAAGUUUGGGGUUGCAUGGGGGAAAUUGAAAGGCAAUGGAAAAGCAUUGAGCUCAAAUGUGUGAAAGAAAAAUACAUGAGAAAAAGAAAAGAAAAGAAGAAAAAACAUGAAGAUGAGCUCAAUGAAAAAGAAAAGGGAAAAAGUUGGGAAUAAGUGAUAUUGGUGAGGAAGAGAGUGAUACUUAAAUGUUGAAUACUAUGGUAGCUCUCUUAACUCAAGGACUUUGCAUUCUAGAAAAACCAAUUUUCUUGUUAGUCGAGCC